Long non-coding RNA from Callorhinchus milii (elephant shark), 2415 nucleotides. RefSeq lists it as uncharacterized. NCBI's taxonomy places the organism in Eukaryota, Metazoa, Chordata, Chondrichthyes, Chimaeriformes, Callorhinchidae. The transcript has 2 exons. The record is from RefSeq and is a predicted model, not a curated record.
CCCUGUUCACAGAUGGAGAGGAUGUCGUUUGUGAUGUUAGGUGUUCUAUCAGUCAUGUUAGGUGAUUGAGAACCGUCCGGCAGAUUCAAAUUGUUCAAUUUGCUUUGAGCACAAAUGUUUACACAUGGCACAUAAUGGACUCAAAAGUAUAUUGGCAGAUUUUAACAUUUAGAGGCUUACAGUGGAUUCCGAUCUUGUUCUCAACUGUGAUGUUCAAAUAUGCACUGUCCAACAAUUAGUCACUGCAAAGCAAUCAGGAGCAAGAGCUCUAUUUUUACUCUUCGAAGGCUAAUUGUGGUUCCCUUAACCUGCUCCCUGGGUGUGUUUAUACAGAAUGCUUGCAUUUCUGAAAAAAAAAGUUGUAAUAAUACAAGCUCUGCAUUUUUCCGGUUAUUUGAAAUCUAAAGGACAUAAAUAUUUUGAAUGGGAAGAGGUAGCAAUUAUAUAUGUUAAUAGUUUUUUUUGCUGGCAUCAUAAGGUAUGAUUUUGUUUCAUAGAUAAAAAUGCAAGGAUUAUUAUUAUUAGAAUAUCAUUUCAAUCAGGCACCAGCUUUUCUUUUGAUUAAAAUUCCAUUUCUGAACGGACUGUUCUGAGAGGCAUGGAUUUAUAAAUUUUUCAACAGGUUAGAGUUUUUUUGAUAAAACUGUUAAUGCGUUCACACAACUCUCUCUACCACACGAUUCUCAUGUCCCUGUUUCUUUGGCCUGUCCUCUAUUCGACUGCCUUUUCCCCCCCUCACCCCCCAGCCCCCCGAUCUGGUCAGUGUUUCUUAAAUGCUUUAGAAUUUAGAGAAGUCAAAGUGAUAAAAUGCCUCUGUUUUUAAAAAUUACAAUCAAAAUUUAUACAUAAAGUUCACGUUGUGCCACACAGAGCUUUGAUUAUCAACAGUAAUUGAGGAUUAUUGACUUUGAUUACCUAGUAGGUUAGUUAAAAGUAUUGGAAAAUCAAGGUUGCACCAAACUGUACGGAUGAUUUGAUGAUGUGUCAUCAUAUGACAGAUAUGCCAUGAUUAACAUCUGGAGAACAAUCUGGUUAAUAACUAUUAUGAUUGAGAAUUAUCAUGGAAGAUAAGUCAAUUGAAUAGUUGAUCAGAAAACACUGAGAUUUGAAUUGACAACUGCUGGAAGGAGUUACCUGGAGUCUGGGUUGGUGAACACAUGCUCAUAUAUCCAGAGUUUGGUACCUACCUUCAUUGGUUUGCAGAGAGGAAAGCAGCUGCUGCUAAAGCUCUGCACUUCCAGCUGGUGGAACUAUCGCUAAAUGGUAGGGUAUGGGCUGUGGGCAAGAGGAUGGUGGCAAAGCUCUCACCCAUUUCUUGCUAUUGUGUUCACCAACUAGCUUGUAAGGUGUUUCUGGUACCUGCUAUCCACCUAGCAAAGGAUCAAACUGCACUGGUCAAAUAUUUAAUGACGAACUCCUGCACUGGGCCAACAGAAAAGUGCAGGUGCACCUUUUCUGCAUUUUCCGACUCAAUGACCCCAGCCCGCUACAAACAGCCCCUCAGGCAUUAACCUUCAGGCACAGUGCACGAAGCCCCAGGCAUCUUGUGCUAUUUGCUCAACGCCUCUAGUGUGGCUGGAGAGGCUUCGAUCGCGCAGGCACGGUGAAUUUUGGGUUUGUGGAAGUGGAGUGUGCGGGAAAUCGACUUCUCUGGUGAGUAAACCUCGAUAGGAAAAGCAGCUGCAUCACACUACUGCGACACGAUCUUGGUAAGUGCUGUACUAUUAAAAUAUUUAGUAUUUUAAACAUAACUACAUUUUCUCAAAAUAUAUACCUAUAGUUUUAAUCUGGGUUGUUUCACUUUUUAGGUUGUAAAUCAUUUUUGUAAAUCCCAUGAGGAAACCAAGGGGCAGCAUGUCUCAUUUUCCGUCUGUCCCUCAGGUAGAAUUGUACUCUAUCCAGAUGACCUUUAUGAAGAAGGGGGGGCAGUUGUUUUGCCGUGUUUGCUGUCGCACAAUUGACCAUGUUAGCAAGUGCACCAUUGAUGAGCAUGUGAACUCUCGGAAACAUUGUGAAUACAAGGCAGUGGCAAUAAAGAAAAAAAAGGUGGAUCUGGACCUCAAAGACAACUUGCUCUGACAACGUGCUUCUUUAGAACUACUGCAUCAUCUAUAGAGAGGAAAGAAUUCAUAUUGGAGUUUGUGCGGUGUUUAACUGGAGCAGACAUACUGCUUGGAAAAGCUCCUGCCUGCCAAGAGUUUCUAUGCAAGUGCAUGAAACAGGGAAGGACUGUUACAACAUACUUGAAGGAGCUUAUUCCUCCAUGAAGCAAUUUUGAAGAAACAUGUUGAGGACACGGAUGUGUACUUGUUCCUGGUUGAGACCAUUGAUUGAAACUGCACUUUUGCAUCUUUUAAAAGGUGUCAUGUUCUGUUAUUCUUAAAGAAAACAUUAAUAAAUUGAGUUUUUAUGCAA